Molecule: ribosomal RNA, 443 nt
Filed under: uncultured bacterium
Lineage: Bacteria
Description: partial 16S ribosomal RNA
Rfam family: Bacterial small subunit ribosomal RNA
Source: RNAcentral
CCUACGGGAGGCUGCAGUGGGGAAUAUUGGGCAAUGGAGGAAACUCUGACCCAGCAACGCCGCGUGAAUGAUGAAGGUCUUCGGAUUGUAAAGCUCUUUUCUCAGGGAAGAAGAAAGUGACGGUACCUUAGGAAUAAGCCUCGGCUAACUACGUGCCAGCAGCCGCGGUAAUACGUAGGCGGCAAGCGUUAUCCGGAAUGACUGGGUGUAAAGGGUGCGUAGGUGGUUUGACAAGUUGGUGGGGUAAUUCCGGGGCUCAACCCCGGCACUGCAGCCGAAACUGUCUGACUUGAGUGCAGGAGGGGCAAGUGGAAUUCCUAGUGUAGCGGUGAAAUGCGUAGAUAUUAGGAGGAACACCAGUUGCGAAGGCGAUUUGCUGGACUGUAACUGACACUGAGGCACGAAAGCGUGGGGAGCAAACAGGAUUAGAUACCCCUGUAGUC